GAUGAACGCUGGCGGCGUGCCUAAUACAUGCAAGUCGAGCGAACAGAUAAGGAGCUUGCUCCUUUGACGUUAGCGGCGGACGGGUGAGUAACACGUGGAUAACCUACCUAUAAGACUGGGAUAACUUCGGGAAACCGGAGCUAAUACCGGAUAAUAUGUUGAACCGCAUGGUUCUAAAGUGAAAGAUGGUUUUGCUGUCACUUAUAGAUGGAUCCGCGCCGCAUUAGCUAGUUGGUAAGGUAACGGCUUACCAAGGCGACGAUCCGUAGCCGACCUGAGAGGGUGAUCGGCCACACUGGAACUGAGACACGGUCCAGACUCCUACGGGAGGCAGCAGUAGGGAAUCUUCCGCAAUGGGCGAAAGCCUGACGGAGCAACGCCGCGUGAGUGAUGAAGGGCUUCGGAUCGUAAAACUCUGUUAUUAGGGAAGAACAAAUGUGUAAGUAACUAUGCACGUCUUGACGGUACCUAAUCAGAAAGCCACGGCUAACUACGUG
This 497-nucleotide ribosomal RNA is filed under the name uncultured bacterium. Its description in RNAcentral is "partial 16S ribosomal RNA". It matches the Rfam family "Bacterial small subunit ribosomal RNA", at positions 28 to 507 of the family's 1533-position model. The record is from RNAcentral.